Molecule: ribosomal RNA, 406 nt
Filed under: uncultured bacterium
Lineage: Bacteria
Description: partial 16S ribosomal RNA
Rfam family: Bacterial small subunit ribosomal RNA
Source: RNAcentral
AUUGAACGCUGGCGGCAGGCCUAACACAUGCAAGUCGAGCGAGCGGAGGACGGGUGAGUAAUGUCUGGGAAACUGUCUGUUGGAGGGGGAUAACUACUGGAAAAGGUAGCUAAUACCGCAUACCAUCAGAUGUGCCCAGGUGGGGUUAGCUAGUAGGUGGGGGAACGGCUCACCUAGGCGACGAUCCCUAGCUGGUCUGCGAGGAUGACCAGCCACACUGGGACUGAGACACGGUCCAGACUCCUACGGGAGGCAGCAGUGGGGAAUAUUGGACAAUGGCCGCAAGCCUGACGCAGCAAUGCCGCGUGUGUGAAGAAGGUCUUCGGGUUGUAAAGCACUUUCAGCGGGGAAGCGUUACCCGAAGAAGAAGCCCCGGCUAACUCCGUGCCAGCAGCCGCGGUAAUAC